This 1345-nucleotide ribosomal RNA is filed under the name uncultured bacterium. RNAcentral describes it as "bacterial SSU rRNA". It matches the Rfam family "Bacterial small subunit ribosomal RNA", at positions 28 to 1381 of the family's 1533-position model. The record is from RNAcentral.
GAUGAACGCUAGCAGGAGGCCUAACACAUGCAAGCCGAGCGGUAUUGUUUCUUCGGAAAUGAGAGAGCGGCGUACGGGUGCGGAACACGUGUGCAACCUGCCUUUAUCUGGGGGAUAGCCUUUCGAAAGGAAGAUUAAUACUCCAUAAUAUAUUGAACGGCAUCGUUUAAUAUUGAAAGCUCCGGCGGAUAGAGAUGGGCACGCGCAAGAUUAGCUAGUUGGUGAGGUAACGGCUCACCAAGGCGAUGAUCUUUAGGGGGCCUGAGAGGGUGAUCCCCCACACUGGUACUGAGACACGGACCAGACUCCUACGGGAGGCAGCAGUGAGGAAUAUUGGUCAAUGGGUGCAAGCCUGAACCAGCCAUCCCGCGUGAAGGACGACUGCCCUAUGGGUUGUAAACUUCUUUUGUAUAGGGAUAAACCUACCCUCGUGAGGGUAGCUGAAGGUACUAUACAAAUAAGCACCGGCUAACUCCGUGCCAGCAGCCGCGGUAAUACGGAGGGUGCAAGCGUUAUCCGGAUUUAUUGGGUUUAAAGGGUCCGUAGGCGGACUUAUAAGUCAGUGGUGAAAGCCUGUCGCUUAACGAUAGAACUGCCAUUGAUACUGUAAGUCUUGAGUAUAUUUGAGGUAGCUGGAAUAAGUAGUGUAGCGGUGAAAUGCAUAGAUAUUACUUAGAACACCAAUUGCGAAGGCAGGUUACCAAGAUAUAACUGACGCUGAGGGACGAAAGCGUGGGGAGCGAACAGGAUUAGAUACCCUGGUAGUCCACGCCGUAAACGAUGCUAACUCGUUUUUGGGCUUUAGGGUUCAGAGACCAAGCGAAAGUGAUAAGUUAGCCACCUGGGGAGUACGCUCGCAAGAGUGAAGCUCAAAGGAAUUGACGGGGGCCCGCACAAGCGGUGGAUUAUGUGGUUUAAUUCGAUGAUACGCGAGGAACCUUACCAAGACUUAAGUGGGAAUUGACAGCUUUAGAAAUAGAGCUUUCUUCGGACAAUUUUCAAGGUGCUGCAUGGUUGUCGUCAGCUCGUGCCGUGAGGUGUUAGGUUAAGUCCUGCAACGAGCGCAACCCCUGUCACUAGUUGCCAUCAUUCAGUUGGGGACUCUAGUGAGACUGCCUACGCAAGUAGAGAGGAAGGUGGGGAUGACGUCAAAUCAUCACGGCCCUUACGUCUUGGGCCACACACGUAAUACAAUGGCCGGUACAGAGGGCAGCUACACAGCGAUGUGAUGCAAAUCUCGAAAGCCGGUCUCAGUUCGGAUUGGAGUCUGCAACUCGACUCUAUGAAGCUGGAAUCGCUAGUAAUCGCGCAUCAGCCAUGGCGCGGUGAAUACGUUCCCGGGCCU